GUGGGGAAUAUUGGACAAUGGGGGGAACCCUGAUCCAGCCAUGCCGCGUGUGUGAAGAAGGCCUUUUGGUUGUAAAGCACUUUUAGCGUGGAGGAGGCUACCGAGAUUAAUACUCUUGGAUAGUGGACGUUACUCGCAGAAUAAGCACCGGCUAACUCUGUGCCAGCAGCCGCGGUAAUACAGAGGGUGCAAGCGUUAAUCGGAUUUACUGGGCGUAAAGCGCGCGUAAGUGGCCAAUUAAGUCAAAUGUGAAAUCCCCGAGCUUAACUUGGGAAUUGCAUUCGAUACUGGUUGGCUAGAGUAUGGGAGAGGAUGGUAGAAGUCCAGGGGUAGCGGUGAAAUGCGUAGAGAUCUGGAGGAAUACCGAUGGCGAAGGCAGCCAUCUGGCCUAAUACUGACACUGAGGUGCGAAAGCAUGGGGAGCAAACAGGAUUAGAUACCCUUGUAGUCC
RNAcentral lists this ribosomal RNA (451 nucleotides) under uncultured bacterium. RNAcentral's name for it is "partial 16S ribosomal RNA". It matches the Rfam family "Bacterial small subunit ribosomal RNA", at positions 354 to 796 of the family's 1533-position model. The record is from RNAcentral.